AGUGGCACUCUGCCACUGGCACUGCCACAUCCAGCAGCAGAGUCAGUCGCAGUUGCUGGGAGUUAGUUACCCAGCGGCCGCUGCCGCUGUCAUAAACAAUCUCAUUUUGGUAAUCAAGAAAACCCAGUGAACAAAUUGUUGCAAUAAUUGCAAGCAAGUGUUAAAUGCAGUCUAGGGCCUUAAUAGCUAUCAUGUGCCACAGGCCACAAGGAGGCGACGUCUACAACUACAACUACAACAGCUAGAGCUCUGCUACCUCGGGGAUUUGUGACUGAGCUUCAGCUGUAAAUUACCCAUACGCCAUGUGCUGCGAGGGAGCAUUCAAAAUGUAUGAAAACUGUGACCAGACCAGCGUGAAAUUAGUAGUAAGCACUUUAAAUAGGUCGUUGCUGCUUAUUGUUCAGCGAGUUCGAAAAAUGAAUUCAAAAGGGUGUUGUAUAAUUCAAGAGAAUUGAAAGCAAAAUUUUAUUUGAAUUAGAUUAAUAAACAUAUGUAUAUGUACAAAUUUUCCGGGAACAGGUAAUUUCUUAUUGAACUAUUUACUACAGAUUUUUAUAUCAUGCAAAAUAUUAUACAAUGAAAAAUA
Molecule: non-coding RNA, 586 nt
Organism: Drosophila virilis
Lineage: Eukaryota; Metazoa; Arthropoda; Insecta; Diptera; Drosophilidae
Source: RefSeq, a predicted model, not a curated record